CACUUUAAAUUGAGUAUCCAUUUACCUCCUUUUCCCGCUAGGAUCGGAAAUCCUGUAUUUUCCAUAUCCAUACGAUCGAGUCCUUAG
This 87-nucleotide ribosomal RNA is filed under the name Triticum aestivum (bread wheat). RNAcentral describes it as "partial small subunit ribosomal RNA". Lineage: Eukaryota; Viridiplantae; Streptophyta; Magnoliopsida; Poales; Poaceae. The record is from RNAcentral.